GAAAUGGGAUUAUUUCUUCCUUUUGACCUGAUCUGCAUGUAUUUAUUAGUAUUUAGUAAGCACUGAAGGUCUGACUGACCUAAAGUAUGAAGUUCUGUGACCGAGCUUUCAAAAUUAAAAUACAUUUAUAAAGAAAGCGCAGCAAAAUUAUUUCUAAGCAGUAUCACCAGACAGUGUCUUUGAACUCUUCUAGAAACACUUAAAUUAUUUAAACAGAGAAACACGAAUUUAACUGUGUUAUUGCCGGAUUGAAGCAACGGAUCUUCAAUUUGUAGGUCGGAUGUUACGUGUUAACAAUGGCUUAUGAAAGAGUCAUCAUUGGCACAGGGGCUACAGUGGCUAAACAUUUUCAUAAGUUUUAAGGGUUAUUAUAAAAACAUAGUUUCCUGUUAUAAUGCAAGGUACUUAUUAUUUAGCAGUCAUUUUCUUAUGCAAAACAUAAACGUGCCAAAAACAUUUAAUAAAAGUAAAGGCAUGCGAAACGCGAGAUUAUACACCCAGAUCUUCGAUGAUGUUUAACCGAUACUUUCAAUACUGAAUAUAUCACAAAGUAAAUACAGUUUAAAUUACAUAAAUAAUGCAUAUCUUUGCUUAUAUUUUAGUUUAUAAAGAAUUUCUUAGAAUUUGUCUGACGGAAAUGAUGAAUAUGUGAUAUUGAAUGUUAUUUGCCUGUCUCAUAAAUUUAUUAAGUAUAAGGGAAGAAACCAGCUUUCAUUGUACAAGAAAGACGAUGCCUUUAUUACGUUUAAUAUUUACGUGAAUAACCUGUCCCUGUAAUAUUAAUUUUUUAUUUUUUUUUUUUUUUUUCAGGCAACGGAACUUCGUCUCUUAAUUAAGGAGGUCUACGAAAGUUACACGAGUGACUUUUCUGACGAAAUUAACUCUAAUUUGUUCUACUUGAUGGAAAACAGUGAUGUUCAAGAUAGCAGUCCCCCUGACGAGUCUAAGAACGACCACGGAGUCAAAUCAGUCCCAUCAAUUGCUGAUCACGUGAAACUGAUGAAGAGAAAUUGCAAAAGAAGAUUCUCCGAACUGGAAAACAUACCUUUAGACAUGAGGGUUCAAGCCAAGAGAAACAAAAAAAAAAUCAGCUCAUAAACGGAGAAAAGUUAGCGGUGAUGUUAAUUGACUGGUAAAUUUUCUUGGCCGCUAAAGAAGUCCCUCUCCUGCUGUAUCAUACAGAUCAACAUGCCAGAUCUGGGAAAACUUUUUCCUCCAG
Stegodyphus dumicola is the source of this 1219-nucleotide long non-coding RNA. NCBI's taxonomy places the organism in Eukaryota, Metazoa, Arthropoda, Arachnida, Araneae, Eresidae. The record is from RefSeq and is a predicted model, not a curated record.